Molecule: long non-coding RNA, 752 nt
Filed under: Sinocyclocheilus grahami
Lineage: Eukaryota; Metazoa; Chordata; Actinopteri; Cypriniformes; Cyprinidae
Description: lncRNA (ENSSGRG00000054991.1)
Source: RNAcentral
UCUUUCGUUCUCUUGUGUGUUCCCCAUGUUAUACAUCCAGCAAGGCAAAGUGUCGUGGCUUAUGGAGCUAAACUCUGAUGUUUAACAAAGCACCGUAAUGAGUGGGAAAGUCUGGAUAUUGAUCACUGCAGUUUCAUUCAUCACCCAUGUUUACCAUGUCCAGUCCAAGUGCAUGAAGCAAGACAUUAAGGCACAUCUGGAUGAGCUGAUGUUGGAAGAGCACGUGUUUCAGAUGAAGGUGUUCUCACCUGAAACGAAGGAACGUGAGCUUCUAUCAGUAAUAAAUACCCUCUGUUCAUACUGGACAAAUAAUAAGGGCAAGGAUAAAUUAAAAGUUGUACAAACUUUUCACAUAAUGCUGUAUAAUCUAGAUGAAAAAUUCAAAGACUUUUGUGCAAAUCUCAACUGCACGGAUGCUUACACAGUACGCGGCAUUGACACAGCCACAUUUGGAGAAAUGUAUAAAGAAUCUUGCAAUGGAUCAGUAUCAGACCUGAAGUGUCCAUCAAAGAGCGCACCUUUAACAACGAUCAGCCCAACUCCUGAAUUCAGCACAGCAUUUUUAACAACGGUCAGUUUAAUCACCACAGAUCAUGAAAGUAAGCAAAUUCAAUAUUGUGUUUCAUAUUCACAUCAACACAGAUUACAGCACAGAUACUUUAUCUGCCACGUUAAUCAGAGUUUUUUGACAUCAAACCACGUUUUCUAUUCACAUAGGCUUAACAUCUUUAACAACAUUGGUCAGCCCAAAC